Long non-coding RNA from Alligator sinensis (Chinese alligator), 466 nucleotides. RefSeq lists it as uncharacterized. The record is from RefSeq and is a predicted model, not a curated record. The transcript has 4 exons. Lineage: Eukaryota; Metazoa; Chordata; Crocodylia; Alligatoridae.
UGAGUUCUUUCAGCUGAGAAUGUAGUGAGAGAGAGAGAUUUCUUUCUUCUGGUUUUAAGUGAAGCCAGAAGCUCCUAGUCAUGUCCAGCCCAGAUGCCAAGGCAGUCACACAUGUGCUCCCAGCUCCCCCACCCCAGCGGAGCAGAGCAGCCCGAUUGAGGGACGAGGAGCAACAGUCAGCAGCCCUGCAGGCUGAGCAACAACCGGAAGAGGAGACACUGGGUCAUCGUGGUGGGAGACAACCUCCCGAGAGGCAUGGAGGGGCCUAUUGGUUGACCAGAUCCCACAGUGCAGGAGAUUUGCUGCCUGCCCGGUGCCAGAAGCCAAGACAUCACUGCGUGAGCCCAGGGGUACACAGAUGCCAGUUAGCAGAUGCUGCAGUUUGUAUUGGACUUCCAAGAGAUUCCCCAGUGCCACGCAUCUCUUCGUUGGCCACCAAUUUCAUAGACAGCCUCUCAGACUCCAA